UUUACUUUAUUAGCCAUAAUAACUGGCACGAUAUUGCAAUCUGAGAGCGAAUAUUUAUCUGGAAAUCGAUUGUUACCAGAGUCCUCGAGUAUCUUAGAACUCGGUACAAUAUCACCUGCAACAUUACGUUUCAACAUAACAUUGUUGAUAUGUUCGUGUUCCGGUAUAAUCUGUAGUAUUCUUCUCGUGUAUGGCUUAGUAAAGGUAAGAUUUAUUUCUAUUUGAUCAUUAUAUCCCAUCUAUAAUAAUAACAACAAUUUUCUUUCUAAUAUUAUUACUCUUGAAUAAUUCAUAUAUACAUACCUGUAUACUUUUUUUCCUUAUACGUUAAAGUAAAGAUAGAACAAGAAA
Long non-coding RNA from Polistes canadensis, 351 nucleotides. RefSeq lists it as uncharacterized. The record is from RefSeq and is a predicted model, not a curated record. The transcript is spliced from 2 exons. Lineage: Eukaryota; Metazoa; Arthropoda; Insecta; Hymenoptera; Vespidae.